Drosophila sulfurigaster albostrigata is the source of this 2219-nucleotide long non-coding RNA. RefSeq lists it as uncharacterized. Lineage: Eukaryota; Metazoa; Arthropoda; Insecta; Diptera; Drosophilidae. The record is from RefSeq and is a predicted model, not a curated record. The transcript has 2 exons.
CAUCCUCGUAAAUAACACAAAAAACCACACAAACAUCAAUCAACACACUGAAUACAAAAGUCACAGUUACCAGUUACAGUCACAGUUACAAGUAACAGUUACCAACAACAAUCACAGUUACGAUUACAAGUAACAGUUACCAUCAACACUCAAAGUUACCAGUAACAGUUACCAACAGUAGUCACUGUUACCAGUAACAGUUACUAAUCACGGUUACCAACAACAGUCACAGUUACCAAACAGUCAACCAAGUUGCAUUUACCCGUUACAUGAACAAGAAAGUAACUGCUAGUCGGUCACACUUACCAGUCACAUUGAAACAUCAGAGUCACAGUUACAGUCACACGUCCACACAGAAAACACAUGCGAAUUAUAUUAUUGUAGCUAAUUUGUACUAUUGUCGAUCCGUAGCUUUUGAAUACUACAAAUAAAUUUGACGCCUUAAUUUUUUGAAACAAUUAUUAUGCUUCAGCUAGCCCAACAAAAAAAAAAAAAAGAAAAUUAAUCACUUUUUAUUUCAGCUUUUUGUUAAUUUAAUGCUUCAAUUCGCUUCAGUCUAAAUUUAUUGUUAAUUGUGUCAACCUUUUGUUUAUUUUUUUAUGCACGACACCAAAAAAAACAUUGCUGCCAACGACUAACAAAGUGCAGCACAACAACAUCACACCACCCACCACAUGCACCCUAAAAAAACAAUCGCACAACAAAAACAAAUCCUCAUACCCCACAAAAAACGUUCAACAACAACAACAACAAAUGCACGCAUCUUUUGGCCAUUUACCUGCGAAAAGGAGAAUUUAUUAUUUUUACGCUUUGCAUCGCUUAUUUUGCCAUUAACCUAUAUUUAAUCAAAAAAAGAAAAAAAAACAACGCUGCGCUUUAUUAUUAUGCUUUAGUUAUUUCUAAUUACGCUUUAAUGCAUAAGGUGCUUUUUACUGCUACGCUUUUUUUAGGUUAAUUGUAUAUUUUUAAAUCAAUCAUUGUUUUUAGUUGGUAAGAAAAAAAAAACUGCUUUUAGUUAAACAAAAAAAAUAUCAUAGCAUACUUUUAAGUAACGCCCAAACGCUCUACGCUUUUAAUAUUUAUUUAUUUAUUUUAUAUUUUUAAUGUUUUUAUUUGUUGUACUCUACAAAUUGACAAAUUUAGCAAAAAGAGUUUUAUUUUUGAUAUUGUGUCAAUCGCAAGCAGCAGAACGCUAAAAACAAAAACAAAACCAAAAUGAAACGAAAAGUUGUUAGUUAACUUGGAUUCAAUUCUUGCGCUGUGAUUUGUUCAUACAUAAUAUAUAUUUAUACCAUAUAUUAGAGGCAGUACAAAUUGCAUUUGUUGCUCAUCUCGAGCACUCAAUUAAUUAAUUAAUUAAUAUACAAAACAUAUACAUUUAUUAUACAACUACUAUAUAUUAUAUUAGCAUUCUUUUCUCAAAUCAGACGUAAUUUUUCAUACAUAAAUAAACGAAAACAAAACCAGACAAUACAACAACAAUACAUUGCAUAUAACUUAAUAUAUACAUACUUACCACAUAUAGAUAUUAUUGUAUGUAAAAUACAAGAAUCUAACGCGUUUAUUUCGAUUUUUCUUUUCUUUCUUUUCUUUUUUAUAUAUGUUCUUGUUAUAUACUCUUAUAUAUACAAACCAAAAAAUCAUUUGUUUUUCGGUAACAACAAAAAUUUUCAAAACUUUGCAACAAAACCAAAAAAAAACCAAAAAAAAUUAUAUAUAUGUUCGUCAAAAAACCAAACAAAAUUCCUAACAAAUUAUGAUCUCUACCACCAAAAAAAAAAAAAUACUCCCAAACAAUCCAAAAAAAAAAAAUGCAACCAACCAAAAACCAAACAACGACCAAAAAUCAACCAAAAACUAUCGACAAACUUUUCGAUUCUAAAAAAAAACCAAAAAUCGUAAAACCCGUUAUUGAAAAUUUUGCCCAUCAAAAACACUCUUUUUCUCUCCGCAAAACAAAAUUCGAAAUUCGCAAUUGCAUUGAACUUCAAAAUUCCAAAAACAAAUCCAAAAUGUAUAUUUCUCUGACCAACAAAAAUUUGACAAAUUAUCUUGGCGAUCCAUAUAUAUCUACACACGAUUUUAUAUAUAUAUUAUUAUGUACAAAAAUUCCAAUUGUUAAAAACCCAAAAACUGCAAACAAAUUCGAUAUCGAACCAAAACAAAACCAAAAAAAAAAAAACGCAACGCAUCCCGCAAAAACCUGGAAAAACUCACAC